UGGUAAGGACCUAAUUAACACUCCUGACU
This 29-nucleotide non-coding RNA is filed under the name Mus musculus (house mouse). The record is from RNAcentral. Lineage: Eukaryota; Metazoa; Chordata; Mammalia; Rodentia; Muridae.